GGGUAGUUAGUUAAACGGUAUAACUACGGUCUCCAAAACCGUCGUUGGAGGUUCGAUUCCUCCACCGCCCGCAA
Molecule: transfer RNA, 74 nt
Filed under: Bacteroidia bacterium
Lineage: Bacteria; Pseudomonadati; Bacteroidota; Bacteroidia
Also listed under: 1 other name
Description: tRNA-Trp
Rfam family: tRNA
About the family: Transfer RNA (tRNA) molecules are approximately 80 nucleotides in length. Their secondary structure includes four short double-helical elements and three loops (D, anti-codon, and T loops).
Source: RNAcentral